RNAcentral lists this ribosomal RNA (691 nucleotides) under uncultured Alphaproteobacteria bacterium. Its description in RNAcentral is "bacterial SSU rRNA". It matches the Rfam family "Bacterial small subunit ribosomal RNA", at positions 790 to 1482 of the family's 1533-position model. Lineage: Bacteria; Pseudomonadati; Pseudomonadota; Alphaproteobacteria. The record is from RNAcentral.
GUAGUCCACGCAGUAAACGAUGAGUGCUAGAUAUUGGGACAUUAGUCUCAGUGUCAAAGCUAACGCGUUAAGCACUCCGCCUGGGGAGUACGGUCGCAAGAUUAAAACUCAAAGGAAUUGACGGGGACUCGCACAAGCGGUGGAACAUGUGGUUUAAUUCGAUGCUACGCGAAAAACCUUACCAGGCCUUGACAUGGUGGUCAUAUCGUGGGGAAACUCAUGAGUCGGUUCGGCCGGACCAUCACAGGUGUUGCAUGGCUGUCGUCAGCUCGUGUCGUGAGAUGUUGGGUUAAGUCCCGCAACGAGCGCAACCCUUAUCCUUAGUUACCAGCGGGUAAAGCCGGGCACUUUAAGGAAACUGCCGGUGAUAAGCCGGAGGAAGGUGGGGAUGACGUCAAGUCAGCAUGGCCCUUACGGCCUGGGCUACACACGUGUUACAAUGGUGGUGACAAUGGGCAGCGAAGGGGUAACCUGGAGCAAAUCCAAAAAAGCCAUCUCAGUUCGGAUUGUACUCUGCAACUCGAGUACAUGAAGUCGGAAUCGCUAGUAAUCGCGGAUCAGCAUGCCGCGGUGAAUACGUUCUCGGGUCUUGUACACACUGCCCGUCAAGCCAUGGGAGUUGGUUUUACCUUAAGCAGGUGUGCUAACCGCAAGGAGGCAGCCUACCACGGUGAAGUCGAUGACUGGGGUU